GGCUUAAUGGAAAUUGUUUGUUUUGAAAACAUACUAAGGGUGUUCGAAUCAUCUGUAAGCUU
Molecule: transfer RNA, 62 nt
Filed under: Euglesa coreana
Lineage: Eukaryota; Metazoa; Mollusca; Bivalvia; Venerida; Sphaeriidae
Description: tRNA-Ser
Source: RNAcentral